This 324-nucleotide ribosomal RNA is filed under the name uncultured eukaryote. RNAcentral describes it as "partial 18S ribosomal RNA". It matches the Rfam family "Eukaryotic small subunit ribosomal RNA", at positions 1470 to 1796 of the family's 1831-position model. The record is from RNAcentral.
CCCUUAGAUGUUCUGGGCCGCACGCGCGCUACACUGAUGCAUUCAACGAGUUUCUUCCUGGUCCGAGAGGAAUGGGUAACCUUUUGAAAGUGCAUCGUGAUAGGGAUAGACUAUUGCAAUUAUUGGUCUUCAACGAGGAAUUCCUAGUAGACGUAGUUCAUCAGACUGCAUCGAUUACGCCCCUGCCCUUUGUACACACCGCCCGUCGCUCCUACCGAUUGAAUGCUCAGGUGAGCCAUUCGGACUUUCAUCAUGCUGGUUUCCAGUUUUGAUGAAGGAAAGUCUUGCGAACCUUAUCAUUUAGAGGAGGGAGAAGUCGUAACA